AUCUCUUGGUUCUGGCAUCGAUGAAGAACGCAGCGAAAUGCGAUAAGUAAUGUGAAUUGCAGAAUUCAGUGAAUCAUCGAAUCUUUGAACGCACAUUGCGCCCUCUGGUAUUCCGGAGGGCAUGCCUGUUCGAGCGUCAUUUCAACCCU
RNAcentral lists this ribosomal RNA (149 nucleotides) under Diaporthe sp. HLJYC010. RNAcentral describes it as "5.8S ribosomal RNA". It matches the Rfam family "5.8S ribosomal RNA". Rfam says of the family: 5.8S ribosomal RNA (5.8S rRNA) is a component of the large subunit of the eukaryotic ribosome. The record is from RNAcentral. Lineage: Eukaryota; Fungi; Ascomycota; Sordariomycetes; Diaporthales; Diaporthaceae.